AAUGAACGCUGGCGGCGCGCCUAAUACAUGCAAGUCGAGCGAGAAGACGUAGCAAUACGUUUGUAAAGCGGCGAACGGGUGAGGAAUACAUGGGUAACCUACCCUCGAGUGGGGAAUAACUAGCCGAAAGGUUAGCUAAUACCGCGUACGCUCCUUGGACUUCGGUUCAGGGAGGAAAGCGAUACCGUGGGUAUCGCGCUCUUGGUUGGGCUCAUGUCCCAUCAGCUUGUUGGUGAGGUAACGGCUCACCAAGGCUUCGACGGGUAGCUGGUCUGAGAGGACGAUCAGCCACACUGGCACUGCGACACGGGCCAGACUCCUACGGGAGGCAGCAGUAAGGAAUAUUGCGCAAUGGGCGAAAGCCUGACGCAGCGACGCCGCGUGGGGGAUGAAGUACUUCGGAUUGUAAACCCCUUUCGGGAGGGAAGAUGGAACGAGCAAUCGUUCGGACGGUACCUCCAGAAGCAGCCACGGCUAACUUCGUGCCAGCAGCCGCCGUAAC
Molecule: ribosomal RNA, 502 nt
Filed under: uncultured bacterium
Lineage: Bacteria
Description: bacterial SSU rRNA
Rfam family: Bacterial small subunit ribosomal RNA
Source: RNAcentral